Molecule: ribosomal RNA, 478 nt
Filed under: uncultured bacterium
Lineage: Bacteria
Description: partial 16S ribosomal RNA
Rfam family: Bacterial small subunit ribosomal RNA
Source: RNAcentral
GACGAACGCUGGCGGCGUGCCUAACACAUGCAAGUCGAGCGGAGAUAAUAGCAAUAUUAUCUUAGCGGCGGACGGGUGAGUAACGCGUGGGCAACCUGCCUUGGACUGGGGGAUAACACAGGGAAACUUGUGCUAAUACCGCAUAACAUAUCGAGAGGACAUCCUCUUGAUAUCAAAGGAGCAAUCCGGUCUUAGAUGGGCCCGCGUCGGAUUAGCUAGUUGGUGGUGUAAUGGACCACCAAGGCGACGAUCGGUAGCCGAACUGAGAGGUUGAUCGGCCACAUUGGGACUGAGACACGGCCCAGACUCCUACGGGAGGCAGCAGUGGGGAAUAUUGCGCAAUGGGGGAAACCCUGACGCAGCAACGCCGCGUGAAGGAUGAAGGUUUUCGGAUUGUAAACUUCUUUGAUUGGGGACGAAGAAAUGACGGUACCCAAAAAACAAGCCACGGCUAACUACGUGCCAGCAGCCGCAGUAA